This 73-nucleotide transfer RNA is filed under the name Stegodyphus mimosarum. It matches the Rfam family "tRNA". From Rfam's summary of the family: Transfer RNA (tRNA) molecules are approximately 80 nucleotides in length. Their secondary structure includes four short double-helical elements and three loops (D, anti-codon, and T loops). The record is from Rfam by way of RNAcentral. Lineage: Eukaryota; Metazoa; Arthropoda; Arachnida; Araneae; Eresidae.
GCCUUCGUAGUGCAGUGGUCAGCCCGCUUGACGAGUAUUCGAGAGGUCAGUGGUUCGAGUCCCGGCAAGGGCA